This 467-nucleotide ribosomal RNA is filed under the name uncultured bacterium. RNAcentral describes it as "partial 16S ribosomal RNA". It matches the Rfam family "Bacterial small subunit ribosomal RNA", at positions 28 to 506 of the family's 1533-position model. The record is from RNAcentral.
GACGAACGCUGGCGGCGUGCUUAACACAUGCAAGUCGAACGGAAAGGCCCUGCUUUUGUGGGGUGCUCGAGUGGCGAACGGGUGAGUAACACGUGAGUAACCUGCCCUUGACUUUGGGAUAACUUCAGGAAACUGGGGCUAAUACCGGAUAGGAGCUCCUGCUGCAUGGUGGGGGUUGGAAAGUUUCGGCGGUUGGGGAUGGACUCGCGGCUUAUCAGCUUGUUGGUGGGGUAGUGGCUUACCAAGGCUUUGACGGGUAGCCGGCCUGAGAGGGUGACCGGCCACAUUGGGACUGGGAUACGGCCCGGAGUCCUACGGGAGGAAGCGGUGGGGAAUAUUGCACAAUGGGCGGAGGCCUGAUGCAGCAACGCCGCGUGCGGGAUGCCGGCCUUCGGGUGUUAAACCGCUUUCGCCUGUGACGAAGCGUGAGUGACGGUAAUGGGUAAAGAAGCACCGGCUAAUUACGU